GUAACGCGUAUGCAAUCUACCUUUAACUGGGGGAUAGCCCGAAGAAAUUCGGAUUAAUACCCCAUAACACUAUGAAAAGGCAUCUUUUUAUAAUUAAAACUACGGUGGUUAAAGAUGAGCAUGCGUCCCAUUAGCUAGUUGGUAAGGUAAUGGCUUACCAAGGCUACGAUGGGUAGGGGGCCUGAGAGGGUGAACCCCCACACUGGUACUGAGACACGGACCAGACUCC
This 229-nucleotide ribosomal RNA is filed under the name uncultured bacterium. RNAcentral describes it as "partial 16S ribosomal RNA". It matches the Rfam family "Bacterial small subunit ribosomal RNA", at positions 110 to 339 of the family's 1533-position model. The record is from RNAcentral.